AAAUCUUGACAUCCUCUGACCCCUCUAGAGAUAGAGUUUUCCCCUUCGGGGGACAGAGUGACAGGUGGUGCAUGGUU
This 77-nucleotide ribosomal RNA is filed under the name uncultured Staphylococcus sp. Its description in RNAcentral is "partial 16S ribosomal RNA". The record is from RNAcentral. Lineage: Bacteria; Bacillati; Bacillota; Bacilli; Caryophanales; Staphylococcaceae.